Molecule: ribosomal RNA, 460 nt
Filed under: uncultured bacterium
Lineage: Bacteria
Description: partial 16S ribosomal RNA
Rfam family: Bacterial small subunit ribosomal RNA
Source: RNAcentral
CCUACGGGAGGCAGCAGUGAGGAAUAUUGGUCAAUGGACGAGAGUCUGAACCAGCCAAGUAGCGUGAAGGAUGAGUGCCCUAUGGGUUGUAAACUUCUUUUAUAUGGGAAUAAAACGUUCCACGUGUGGGAUUUUGUAUGUACCAUAUGAAUAAGGAUCGGCUAACUCCGUGCCAGCAGCCGCGGUAAUACGGAGGAUCCGAGCGUUAUCCGGAUUUAUUGGGUUUAAAGGGAGCGUAGGUGGAUUGUUAAGUCAGUUGUGAAAGUUUGCGGCUCAACCGUAAAAUUGCAGUUGAAACUGGCAGUCUUGAGUACAGUAGAGGUGGGCGGAAUUCGUGGUGUAGCGGUGAAAUGCUUAGAUAUCACGAAGAACUCCGAUUGCGAAGGCAGUUCACUGGACUGCAACUGACACUGAGGCUCGAAAGUGUGGGUAUCAAACAGGAUUAGAUACCCCAGUAGUC